Molecule: ribosomal RNA, 495 nt
Filed under: uncultured Hypocreales
Lineage: Eukaryota; Fungi; Ascomycota; Sordariomycetes; Hypocreales
Description: eukaryotic LSU rRNA
Rfam family: 5.8S ribosomal RNA (bases 122-275)
Source: RNAcentral
CAUACCUUAAUGUUGCCUCGGCGGAUCAGCCCGCGCCCCGUAAAACGGGACGGCCCGCCAGAGGACCCAAACUCUAAUGUUUCUUAUUGUAACUUCUGAGUAAAACAAACAAAUAAAUCAAAACUUUCAACAACGGAUCUCUUGGUUCUGGCAUCGAUGAAGAACGCAGCAAAAUGCGAUAAGUAAUGUGAAUUGCAGAAUUCAGUGAAUCAUCGAAUCUUUGAACGCACAUUGCGCCCGCUGGCAUUCCGGCGGGCAUGCCUGUUCGAGCGUCAUUUCAACCCUCAAGCCCCCGGGUUUGGUGUUGGGGAUCGGCUCUGCCCUUCUGGGCGGCGCCGCCCCCGAAAUACAUUGGCGGUCUCGCUGCAGCCUCCAUUGCGUAGUAGCUAACACCUCGCAACUGGAACGCGGCGCGGCCAUGCCGUAAAACCCCAACUUCUGAAUGUUGACCUCGGAUCAGGUAGGAAUACCCGCUGAACUUAAGCAUAUCAAUAA